AAGACUAUACUUUCAGGGAUCAUUUCUAUAGUCACUGACUUGAGGAAUGUGUUUCUAAAGUGUAUGGUCUCGCUAACCACGAUGAAGAGUUAGUGAUACUUUUCCCUGAGCGCGAAGCGGACAGGGAGACUUGAUUCAUUCAUAUGCUCUCUGUUUUUGAUGACCGUUCACUGUCUCCUUUGGGGAUAAUGAGGGGAAGAGUAUGAUCAGAGUGGUA
Small nucleolar RNA from Mastacembelus armatus (zig-zag eel), 217 nucleotides. The record is from Ensembl. Lineage: Eukaryota; Metazoa; Chordata; Actinopteri; Synbranchiformes; Mastacembelidae.